UAUAAUUGUAAAUAAUAAUUAAUUAAUAGGUACUUGCUUGGAGUUCCUGGAAGAUUUCUCUUUUUCUUCUGUGAGGUAGGAUUAGUUGAAGAAGUGGGUAUGGAGGAAAGUUGUUGUUUCAUCUGGAUUUGGUCUUCUUCUCUUGCUCCGAAGAACAAUGGAUUUGAUGAGGAAGGGGCAGCCAUAUUCAUCAACUAAUCUCUCGAUCGAUCUUUAUGCAGCUAGCUAACUUUGUCUACCUCCUCUCUCUUGUAUAUAUAUACUCUUCAAGACAAAUGAAUCUACAAACAACAAUAUUUGACCAAAAUUACCAUCACCCACAUGAAGAUUUGAGAAGUAAGUACUUCAGUUUUCUUUUUCAAAUCCUUCUCGAGGGAACAAGAAAAUAAUUGAAAUUAAUAUAAUUGAAAAAUAGAAGAAUUUUAUUAGUUCUUCAUUACCUCCCCUUUAGAAACAGGCAACCAAUUAAGAGGAAAAGCAUAAAGUGUAUAUAUAAUAUUGAGACAGCUAAAAUCUGGAGAUGGAGAGAAGUAAAAGAGAAGAAAACAAUCAAUCCAUAUAUGGACCAAAUGCCUAUUUAGCUUCAAUGCUUCUCUGCCUGCAGUACCUUUUUGUUGUUUAUUAAUUAGUAUAUAUUAUACUACUAGAGUAUAUAAAAAAAUUCGAGGCAGUUGUAGUUCCUUUUCUUCAAUUAUUUGAUGCUAGCUAGCUAUAAUUAUAUAUGUACAUACAUACUACUAACACAUACAUACAUGUAUGCAACAUUUAUUUUUCUCUCUAUGCCAGUAUUCAUGAUUUUCUUCAUCCAAUUCCAAAAUAAUGCAAAUAAUGAUAAUAAUAAUAAUAAUAAUAGUACUAAUAAAAUUAUAGUAGUAUUUUUCACCAGAAAAAUGAGUGAGAAUUGAAUUAAUUGAGGGGAGCUGGGGACCUGGUGUUGUUGUCCAUGCAGCUCACAAGCAGAAUAAGAAGGCGUCACGUCGUGAAGCGGUGGUAAUUUGGGGCCACACCGGCCCACCCCGCCCGUAUGCCUCUUCCUUUAUCUCAUU
RNAcentral lists this long non-coding RNA (1046 nucleotides) under Panax ginseng (ginseng). RNAcentral describes it as "long non-coding RNA (PGIN_LNC007178)". Lineage: Eukaryota; Viridiplantae; Streptophyta; Magnoliopsida; Apiales; Araliaceae. The record is from RNAcentral.